AAGUCGUAACAAGGUUUCCGUAGGUGAACCUGCGGAAGGAUCAUUACAGUAUAUUGAAUUCUUAUUCAUAUCAACCCACACUGUGUACCUUUUAUUUGUUGCUUCCAUGGGACAUGGCUCUGCCACGUCGGCCUUCGGGCUGGUGAGUUCCCAUGGAAGGAAACCCAAUACUCUUUUUAUUUUUGACAUCUGCCUGAAUAGUUUUUAUAAACGUUAAAACUUUCAACAACGGAUCUCUUGGUUCUCGCAUCGAUGAAGAACGCAGCGAAAUGCGAUAAGUAGUGUGAAUUGCAGAAUUCAGUGAAUCAUCGAAUCUUUGAACGCACAUUGCGCCUCCUGGUAUUCCGGGAGGCAUGCCUGUUCGAGCGUCAUCAAAAACCUCAACCAUAAUUUAUUAUGAGUUGGUAUUGCAUUGGACUCCUUGUGGGUCCUCCGCGAAAUUCAAUGGCGAAGAGCCACGCAGCCAAAGCGUAGUAUAACUAUUUCGUUAUGGAAGCGUUGGUGCCUCUGCCGUAACCCCCCAAUUUCUUAGUUUUUGACCUCGGAUCAGGUAGGGAUACCCGCUGAACUUAA
Molecule: ribosomal RNA, 573 nt
Filed under: uncultured fungus
Lineage: Eukaryota; Fungi
Description: eukaryotic LSU rRNA
Rfam family: 5.8S ribosomal RNA (bases 218-371)
Source: RNAcentral